AUACGGAGGAUCCAAGCGUUAUCCAGAUUUAUUGGGUUUAAAGGGUGCGCAGGCGGCCUUAUAAGUCAGUGGUGAGAUCUCCCGGCUCAACCGGGAAACUGCCAUUGAUACUGUAGGGCUAGAAUACAGACGAGGUAGGCGGAAUGUAGCAUGUAGCGGUGAAAUGCUUAGAUAUGCUACAGAACACCGAUCGCGAAGGCAGCUUACCAGACUGUAAUUGACGCUAAGGCACGAAAGCGUGGGGAGCGAACAGGAUUAGAAACCCGGGUAGUCC
Molecule: ribosomal RNA, 274 nt
Filed under: uncultured bacterium
Lineage: Bacteria
Description: partial 16S ribosomal RNA
Rfam family: Bacterial small subunit ribosomal RNA
Source: RNAcentral